Molecule: ribosomal RNA, 505 nt
Filed under: Bacillus sp. (in: firmicutes)
Lineage: Bacteria; Bacillati; Bacillota; Bacilli; Caryophanales; Bacillaceae
Description: bacterial SSU rRNA
Rfam family: Bacterial small subunit ribosomal RNA
Source: RNAcentral
GCAAGUCGAGCGGACAGAUGGGAGCUUGCUCCCUGAUGUUAGCGGCGGACGGGUGAGUAACACGUGGGUAACCUGCCUGUAAGACUGGGAUAACUCCGGGAAACCGGGGCUAAUACCGGAUGGUUGUUUGAACCGCAUGGUUCAGACAUAAAAGGUGGCUUCGGCUACCACUUACAGAUGGACCCGCGGCGCAUUAGCUAGUUGGUGAGGUAACGGCUCACCAAGGCGACGAUGCGUAGCCGACCUGAGAGGGUGAUCGGCCACACUGGGACUGAGACACGGCCCAGACUCCUACGGGAGGCAGCAGUAGGGAAUCUUCCGCAAUGGACGAAAGUCUGACGGAGCAACGCCGCGUGAGUGAUGAAGGUUUUCGGAUCGUAAAGCUCUGUUGUUAGGGAAGAACAAGUGCCGUUCAAAUAGGGCGGCACCUUGACGGUACCUAACCAGAAAGCCACGGCUAACUACGUGCCAGCAGCCGCGGUAAUACGUAGGUGGCAAGCGUUGU